Molecule: non-coding RNA, 270 nt
Organism: Pelobates cultripes (western spadefoot toad)
Lineage: Eukaryota; Metazoa; Chordata; Amphibia; Anura; Pelobatidae
Source: the annotation of a GenBank genome assembly
GACAGAGUGAGGGAGAGGGUGACUGGUGACAGAGUGAGGGAGGGGAUGACUAGUGACAGAGUUAAGGAGGGAGUGACUAGUGACAGAGGAAGGGAUGGGGUGACUAGUGACAGUCACCCCUUCCUCACUCGGUCACUGUGUCAGCCCCUUCCUCGCUCUGUCACUAGUCACCCCCUCUCUCACUCUGUCACCAGUCAUUCCCUCACUCUGUCAUCAGUCAUCCAUUCCUUCCCUCACUCUGCCACUAGUCAUCCCUUCCCUCACUCUGUC